UACUAGAGUAGCACUCGCAUAUCAAUAAGCGGAGGAAAAGAAACUAACAAGGAUUCCCCUAGUGACGGCGAGUGAAGCGGGAAGAGCUCAAAUUUGAAAUCUUAAAGGGUUUCCCUUUACGAAUUGUAGUUUAAAGAAGUGUUUUCUGUUGAGGUUUUGGUAAAAGUUCUUUGGAAUAGGACAUCAUAGAGGGUGAGAAUCCCGUAUUUGACCUUUACUUUCAACUUUGUGAUACACUUUCAAAGAGUCGGAUUGUUUGGGAAUGCAGUCCAAAAUGGGUGGUAAAUUUCAUCUAAAGCUAAAUAUUGGCGAGAGACCGAUAGCGAACAAGUACCGUGAGGGAAAGAUGAAAAGAACUUUGAAAAGAGAGUUAAACAGUACGUGAAAUUGUCAAAAGGGAAGCGUUUGACACCAGUGUUGUUUUUCUGAAAAUCAAUUAAAGAACUGUUUAUGCUAAGCUGUUUAGACUUUAUCAGCUAUCUGCUUAGUUUUGAGCUUUUCUUUAAUGCACUUUUCAGUUAACAAGUCAACAUCAACUUCUUUUGCUGUAAAAAAGCUUGAGGAAGGUGGCUUGAGAUUCGUCUUAAGUGUUUAUAGCCUCUUGCCUAUGCAGUCGGAGAGAUUGAGGUCUGCAGCGUAGAUCCUUCGGGGCUAAAUGCAUUUGUGCUAAGUUAUAGCAUUUUAUAGACAACUUGUUGACUAUGAUUUGUCUUGUAGCUUACUCGCUUAUGUUAUUUUACCUACGCUUAGGAUGUUGAACUCUAUCACACACAG
Molecule: ribosomal RNA, 774 nt
Filed under: uncultured Neocallimastigales
Lineage: Eukaryota; Fungi; Neocallimastigomycota; Neocallimastigomycetes; Neocallimastigales
Description: partial large subunit ribosomal RNA
Rfam family: Eukaryotic large subunit ribosomal RNA
Source: RNAcentral